RNAcentral lists this long non-coding RNA (1857 nucleotides) under Olea europaea subsp. europaea. The record is from RNAcentral. Lineage: Eukaryota; Viridiplantae; Streptophyta; Magnoliopsida; Lamiales; Oleaceae.
CUCCAUAGACCUAUUACAGAACUUAAAAGAUGGCGAUAAUUUUACCGAGGUAAUUAGGAUCUCAGUGGACUGAAAUGAACAUUAAAAAACAUUAUGAUAAUUCAAGAACAAUGAGUAGCAAAAAAAAAAAAAAAAAAAACCACAUCAACAUAGUAGCGUAUCAUUCAUACAUGCGUCAUUACAAACAGUUAAAGAAGUUUAGACUUACAAUCUUGAAUGAUCACGACAUACAAACCGUUGGAUCAUCGUCCUAACACAUCAACUUUUACAUUUCAUUUUCUGAAACUCGUUUCCCUUUGCAUAUGUUUCUUUGGAGAGAAAUCUCCAGGUCUUUUUCCUUGCUUAGCUUAGCAAGCGUUUUCGACAUAUGCGACAAGUAUCCACGUCUUCACCUGCAGUUGUGAUGCAACCUGAUUCACCAUCAUCAUGCAAUAGACACUUUUCAUCGAGGAAUUUGUUGCGCCAUUUGAAGUACCUACAGUCACGAGUACAACAAUGAAACAACAAUCUUUUAUGGUCAUUGCUCUUUUCGACAAUUUGGGCAUCUUCUCUUUGUCGGGCAUUCCGAUAGUGUAUGUCCCCUCUGUCGACAACAAUGACAUAUUCCCCCAUUCUUGCGUGCCAUCGAACUUAUCUAAUUCAACGACAUGAAACAACUACACCAAUAUGUAACCAUAUUAGUAUCUUCACUAAUUUGGAUAAAGGCAAUAGGACAGGCAAUAACAAACAGAAAGGCAGCGAGAUAUUUCAUUUUUAUUAACUUUCCAUGGUAUAUUACUGAUAGCAAAUAUUGCAAACCCAAUGGCUACUGAAAUCUACACUUUAUGGACCUAUAAAGAGAUUAUGAAGUUAAGUAACUUUGGCAGAGUAUAGAAUGCACCAGCAAGAACAAUAAUUUUCCACUUAUGAAAAUGGUCUCAACUAUGAGAAAGAACAAGAAUAGUCAUAACAAGUGAUAUCCUUACAAUCAAAUGUAGUGUAACUUUCUAGUACUUUUUGAUAGCCAGAUACUCAUACCUUUUCAUUUUCCCCUUUCUUUCCAAAUUGGUUUUAACUCAAUGCCUCUCCAUAACUUUCCUUGUGUAUUCACAUAUGGUAGCAAGGUUUUAAAUCUAAUUUUAAUUGUCUUCGGUUCAUCUACAAUUGACAGGAGCAGAAACUAAAUUCACCUAAAAUUUACGAACUUUUCUACUCCCAUUAGCUUCUUUUUUACAGAAAGAAAUCAUAAGCAAAUUAAAACAUGAUUCAAAAUCCUACUCGGAAAAACCUUUUAUUAACUUUGCAUAUAUUCGGUAAUAACGUAUUCAAAAACCUAAUCUCUACUCUCCCAAAAUUAAGUAAUGCCAAACGUUAGACAAAAAUAUCUCAAGCGAAAUUGAAACAAUUGGAGAAAACUUACAGCGAAAACAACAUAAAAAUCACAGAAAAUGUUUAACCCCUAUACAAACAUUAAUUCUUCAUUAUUCAGCCCGACCCGUUGAGGAAAAUAAACACCGACCCGUUGGAAAAAAUAUUUUAUAAGCGUCAAGCCACUACUUCUCUUUCCGUUCAGCCCGUGAUCGGAGGAGGCGAUUAUUCGGGUUGUCGCCUGGAUUUAUGGUUGGCUCUGCGUUAUUCUUCGUCAAUGGGUGUCACCUGGAUUUAUUGUUGGCCAGCUACACAUACAAGGAGAAGAAAUCGUAGAUUUGAGAGGAUUCGAUUUGGGGAAGAUAUUGAGAGGUUUCGAUUUGGGGAUGAAAUGAAGCAAAUGGGAGACAAACUUGGGCUUCAGUCGGGUCAGCCACCGUAAACAGUCAUUUAAACACCUUUUUUUUUUUCUUUUCAUUUUCCAUGUCAGCACUGUACACAAAGCUGUGC